This 683-nucleotide ribosomal RNA is filed under the name uncultured archaeon. Its description in RNAcentral is "bacterial SSU rRNA". It matches the Rfam family "Archaeal small subunit ribosomal RNA", at positions 195 to 880 of the family's 1478-position model. The record is from RNAcentral.
UAUAUGGCCUCUGGAUUGGACUGCGGCCGAUCAGGCAGUUGGUGAGGUAAUGGCCCACCAAACCUGUUACCGGUACGGGCUCUGAGAGGAGGAGCCCGGAGAUGGGCACUGAGACAAGGGCCCAGGCCCUAUGGGGCGCAGCAGGCGCGAAACCUCUGCAAUAGGCGAAAGCCUGACAGGGUUACUCUGAGUGAUUCCCGCUAAGGGGAUCUUUUGGCACCUCUAAAAAUGGUGCAGAAUAAGGGGUGGGCAAGUCUGGUGUCAGCCGCCGCGGUAAUACCAGCACCCCGAGUGGUCGGGACGAUUAUUGGGCCUAAAGCAUCCGUAGCCGGUCAUGCAAGUCCUCCGUUAAAUCCACCUGCUCAACAGAUGGGCUGCGGAGGAUACUACAAGGCUAGGAGGCGGAAGAGGCAAGCGGUACUCAGUGGGUAGGGGUAAAAUCCUCUGAUCCAUUGAAGACCACCAGUGGCGAAGGCGGCUUGCCAAUACGCGCUCGACGGUGAGGGAUGAAAGCUGGGGGAGCAAACCGGAUUAGAUACCCGGGUAGUCCCAGCUGUAAACGAUGCAGACUCGGUGAUGGGCCGGCUUUAUGCCGGCUCAGUGCCGCAGGGAAGCCGUUAAGUCUGCCGCCUGGGGAGUACGGUCGCAAGACUGAAACUUAAAGGAAUUGGCGGGGGAGCACC